This is a long non-coding RNA of Triticum aestivum (bread wheat), 1371 nucleotides long. RefSeq lists it as uncharacterized. NCBI's taxonomy places the organism in Eukaryota, Viridiplantae, Streptophyta, Magnoliopsida, Poales, Poaceae. The transcript is spliced from 3 exons. The record is from RefSeq and is a predicted model, not a curated record.
AAGGUUGUAUUCGCUAUCCCAAAACCUAAUGUCAUACUUCCAAAUGCAAUGAUCACUUUUCCAUGUUGAAAACUUUUUUAGAAUAUAUUUAUGAAUUACAAUUUGUUGCCAAAAUGAUUUUAAUGCCUUGAUGUCGAUAAUUAAUUCCCCUUGCCAGAUUACCAUUCUCCUACAUUUUUAAUAAUUUGCAUGUUAAUUAUAAAUCUGUUAAAAAUUAUGUUGAUUGUAGGAGUUAGGACCUUUUUGCUUGCAAAGUGAUGGUGUUCCAUAUUUGGUACAUUAUCAUGUUUUGCAGGUGUCAAAGUGCACAGAGAUGACGCAUAAAGAUAGGAAAGACUAUUAUCUUAAGGAUCUAUUUUUUCAACAAUAUGAAGAUAAAAGUAUGGAUCCAUCACGUUUGAGCGACAUAACAGAUAAUUUCUCCAAGAAGGCAGAGAUUGGUAGUGGUGGAUUCGGAGUGGUUUACAAGACAAACCAUGUGGACUUCCAUGGCAAGUGUGCUACAAAAUCAUCCAAGGAAUUUGUCUAGGUUUGCACCAUCUUCAUGAGCACAGAAUCAUUCAUAGAGAUAUCAAAGCAGGCAAUAUUCUACUUGAUGAUCACAUGACUCCGAAAAUUGCGGACUUUGGUUUGUCAAGGUUCUUAGGGGAUGCUAAAAGCAGAAUUAACACUCGCCAAGAUGGAACACUGGGAUACAUGGCACCUGAAAGUAUGUUCAAUGGAGUAUUUACUUUCAAGUCCGAUAUAUACAGUCUGGGCAUGAUAAUCAGAAAGAUUGUGACUGGUAACAGUGCAAUAUCAAAGGAAGAGACCGUAAGGAUUUCUCUUCAAUGUUUUUUUACUAUUUCUUCAAUGUUAACCAUUCUAUAUAAAUGGAACCAGGAUGUGGCCUCUUGUUCUAAACAAACUUUACCAUGAAAAUGUAGUUAUACGUGUGGGGUCAUAGGUCAAACCUAGAUGCAUCACAGAGGCCCACUCCGUUGGAUCAAGUAGAAGAAUGCAUCGAUAUAUCAAUAAGCUGCAUAGACAUAGCUAAAGCAGCAGAGAACAGACCUGAUAUGCGGGAUAUCCUCCGUAGGCUUGGUAUAAUAGGAACUAGUGGCUGCUCUGCCGCAGGUGGCAUAAACACUUCUCCGGCACCGGUACGAUCAUUCCAAUUACAAGUUGUGAAAACACAUGAGUUGUCACAACCGCAUGUGUCAUCAUUUUUCUUUGUUAGUGGAGGUAUGAUGUCUCUUAAAGUUGAUAUAAGUAUUUUGUAUCCCAAUAGUCAUCAUCGACGAGAAAGGGGCCGAAGGUCGAAACCGAGCCAUCAAUGGCAGCAUCAGCUAAGAGGCCAGGAGAGGCAAGCCCUGAAAAGUUGGAGGUAAC